Molecule: long non-coding RNA, 363 nt
Organism: Calypte anna (Anna's hummingbird)
Lineage: Eukaryota; Metazoa; Chordata; Aves; Apodiformes; Trochilidae
Exons: 2
Source: RefSeq, a predicted model, not a curated record
GCCCGGUGCGGGGGGGAGGGGCGACGGAGGCCGAGGAGGGGCCGGGCCGGGCCUCGAUGGCGGAGCCGGGGCGGGACCCGCGCUCGUUCUGCGACCUGAUGGUGGCCGCCGUGGUGCUGCUCUGCUGGGGCUUCGUCCUCUACGGGGCACGAGUGAUUGCCCAGCGGCAGCUGGAAAGUGGCGUCUUUGGGCCAGCGCUACCCUAGGACAACCCCAGGAGCUUGACCUCGACUCCAAGAGCAAGAAGGGGUCUGGCAGAAGGCUGGGAGGGGCCCUGAUGGUUGACUGGGGAAAUAAAACUUAAUUAGCUCUUAGAAAAGAGAAGGUAAUUAAAGCAUAAAGAGCUGUUGGGAAAGAGUAAAA